UACGAAGGGGGGCUAGCGUUGCUCGGAAUUACUGGGCGUAAAGGGCGCGUAGGCGGAUGUUUAAGUCGGGGGUGAAAGCCCGGGGCUCAACCCCGGAAUUGCCUUCGAUACUGGACAUCUUGAGUACGGGAGAGGUGAGUGGAACUCCGAGUGUAGAGGUGAAAUUCGUAGAUAUUCGGAAGAACACCAGUGGCGAAGGCGACUCACUGGCCCGUUACUGACGCUGAGGCGCGAAAGCGUGGGGAGCAAACAGGG
RNAcentral lists this ribosomal RNA (255 nucleotides) under uncultured bacterium. Its description in RNAcentral is "partial 16S ribosomal RNA". It matches the Rfam family "Bacterial small subunit ribosomal RNA", at positions 524 to 777 of the family's 1533-position model. The record is from RNAcentral.